ACCAAGCCUAGCCCUAUCAAAUUUAAAUUCAACUACACAUCUCAAUAAAACAAAUCAUUUGACAAAAGAAAGUAUUGGAGAAAGAAAUCUACUUCAGGAGCUAUAGAGAAAGUACCGUAAGGGAAAGAUGAAAGACCCCUAAAAAGUAAAAAUAAGCAAAGAUUAAACCUUGUACCUYUUGCAUAAUGAGUUAACUAGAAAACACCUAGCUAAGAGACCUUAAGCUAGGUACCCCGAAACCAAACGAGCUACCUAGGAGCAGUACAAAGAACUAACCCGUCUAUGUGGCAAAAUAGUGGGAAGACUUCUAGGUAGAGGUGAAAAGCCUAUCGAGCUUGGUGAUAGCUGGUUACCUGAUAAAGAAUUUUAGUUCAACUUUAAGCAUUACCAUAAGAAAUAACAAUCAAAAUGUAAUCUUAAAUUUUAGCCUAAAGAGGGACAGCUCUUCAGGAAUGGAAACAACCUUGAAUAGUGAAUAAACACCUAACCCCAAAAACCACAGUUGGCCUAAAGGCAGCCACCAAUAAAGAAAGCGUUAAAGCUCAACACUAUAAUCCCCUUAAUUCCAUGAAUCUCAAUGAAUUCCUAUAGCACUAAUCAGGUUAAUCUAUAACUAUAUAGAUGUGAUACUGUUAACAUGAGUAACAAGAACACUGUUCUCCAAGCACAGGCCUAUAACAACCCGGAUAACCAUUGUUAGUUAACAUCCUCAGGCACAUAAACCACCAAUAAAACCAACCUACAACUAAAAUGUUAACCCGACACAGGCGUGCAACAAGGAAAGAUUAAAAGAAGUAAAAGGAACUCGGCAAACAAGAAUCCCGCCUGUUUACCAAAAACAUCACCUCUAGCAUACAAAGUAUUAGAGGCACUGCCUGCCCAGUGACAAAAGUUCAACGGCCGCGGUAUCCUGACCGUGCAAAGGUAGCAUAAUCACUUGUUCCUUAAUUGGGGACUGGAAUGAAUGGCCCCACGAGGAUUCAACUGUCUCUUACUUCCAAUCAGUGAAAUUGACCUCCCCGUGAAGAGGCGGGGAUAACACAAUAAGACGAGAAGACCCUAUGGAGCUUCAAUUUCCUGGCUUAACUGUCCAAUUAAUACCCUAAUGGAUCAAAAAAGAAAAGAAAUAAGCCAGUAAUUUCGGUUGGGGUGACCUCGGAGAACAAAACAACCUCCGAACGAUUUUAGCCAAGACCUACAAGUCUAAGCACUAAAAAUCUAAUUGACCCAAUCCAUUUGAUCAACGGACCAAGUUACCCUAGGGAUAACAGCGCAAUCCUAUUCGAGAGUCCAUAUCGACAAUUAGGGUUUACGACCUCGAUGUUGGAUCAGGACAUCCCAAUGGUGCAGCAGCUAUUAAUGGUUCGUUUGUUCAACGAUUAAAGUCCUACGUGAUCUGAGUUCAGACCGGAGCAAUCCAGGUCGGUUUCUAUCUAUUAACUAUUUCUCCCAGUACGAAAGGACAAGAGAAAUGAGGCCUCCUUAACACAAGCGCCUUAAAACUAAUAUAUGAAGUUAUCUCAACUUAGUAAGUUAGUCCAACAACACCCUAGACAAGGGUUU
This 1563-nucleotide ribosomal RNA is filed under the name Stenocranius gregalis (narrow-headed vole). RNAcentral describes it as "16S ribosomal RNA". Lineage: Eukaryota; Metazoa; Chordata; Mammalia; Rodentia; Cricetidae. The record is from RNAcentral.